UGGGGAAUCUUAGACAAUGGGCGCAAGCCUGAUCUAGCCAUGCCGCGUGGGUGAUGAAGGCCUUAGGGUCGUAAAGCCCUUCCGCCGGGGAAGAUAAUGCCGGUACCCGGUAAAGAAACCCCGGCUAACUCCGUGCCAGCAGCCGCGGUAAUACGGAGGGGGUUAGCGUUGUUCGGAAUGACUGGGCGUAAAGCGCGCGUAGGCGGGCUGGAAAGUCAGAGGUGAAAGCCCGGGGCUCAACCCCGGAAUGGCCUUUGAAACUCCCAGCCUUGAGUUCGAGAGAGGUGAGUGGAAUUCCGAGUGUAGAGGUGAAAUUCGUAGAUAUUCGGAGGAACACCAGUGGCGAAGGCGGCUCACUGGCUCGACACUGACGCUGAGGUGCGAAAGCGUGGGGAGCAAA
Molecule: ribosomal RNA, 400 nt
Filed under: uncultured bacterium
Lineage: Bacteria
Description: bacterial SSU rRNA
Rfam family: Bacterial small subunit ribosomal RNA
Source: RNAcentral